Pongo abelii (Sumatran orangutan) is the source of this 47-nucleotide non-coding RNA. The record is from Rfam. NCBI's taxonomy places the organism in Eukaryota, Metazoa, Chordata, Mammalia, Primates, Hominidae.
CCAAAGGCUCUUUUCAGAGCCACUUAACGUUCUCACUGAGGAUAGCU